This 478-nucleotide ribosomal RNA is filed under the name uncultured bacterium. RNAcentral's name for it is "partial 16S ribosomal RNA". It matches the Rfam family "Bacterial small subunit ribosomal RNA", at positions 28 to 523 of the family's 1533-position model. The record is from RNAcentral.
GACGAACGCUGGCGGCGUGCUUAACACAUGCAAGUCGAACGGUAAGGCCCUUCGGGGUACACGAGUGGCGAACGGGUGAGUAACACGUGGGUGAUCUGCCCUGCACUUCGGGAUAAGCCUGGGAAACUGGGUCUAAUACCGGAUAGGACUCCUGGCUUCAUGGUUGGGGGUGGAAAGCUUUUGCGGUGUGGGAUGGGCCCGCGGCCUAUCAGCUUGUUGGUGGGGUAAUGGCCUACCAAGGCGACGACGGGUAGCCGGCCUGAGAGGGUGACCGGGCACACGGGGACGGAGAUACGGCCCAGACUCCUACGGGAGGCAGCAGUGGGGAAUAUUGCACAAUGGGCGCAAGCCUGAUGCAGCGACGCCGCGUGAGGGAUGACGGCCUUCGGGUUGUAAACCUCUUUCAGCUAUGACGAAGCGCAAGUGACGGUAGUAGCAGAAGAAGGACCGGCCAACUACGUGCCAGCAGCCGCAGUAA